This 21-nucleotide small nuclear RNA is filed under the name Arabidopsis thaliana (thale cress). Its description in RNAcentral is "snRNA_14041". The record is from RNAcentral. Lineage: Eukaryota; Viridiplantae; Streptophyta; Magnoliopsida; Brassicales; Brassicaceae.
GUUGUCGAAUCCGAUGAUCCU